Molecule: ribosomal RNA, 664 nt
Filed under: uncultured fungus
Lineage: Eukaryota; Fungi
Description: eukaryotic LSU rRNA
Rfam family: 5.8S ribosomal RNA (bases 297-450)
Source: RNAcentral
UCCGUAGGUGAACCUGCGGAAGGAUCAUUACUGAGGUUUCCCGGCGCAAGCUGGGGAGAACCCGACCUAUUGUCAUCUGCACGUUGGGGAGGAACGGUUGGCGUGUUGGACGUGUGGCUUGUGACGGAUCGUACCCGAGAGGGUGGAUCCGGAGCGGCCCGCGCUGCCGCUGCCGCCCUGACGAACCUGAACUUCGGCGGAAGAGGUAGGCUGGACCUGCCCGCCGCCGGCCGUAACUUAUUUUACUCUGCAACGAGAAUCUGAAGCCUGAUACACAAAAACAAAAUGAAAAGCAAAACUUUCAACAACGGAUCUCUUGGCUCUGGCAACGAUGAAGAACGCAGCGAAAUGCGAUACGUAGUGUGAAUUGCAGAAUUCAGUGAAUCAUCGAAUCUUUGAACGCACAUUGCGCCCUUUGGUAUUCCAAAGGGCAUGCCUGUUCGAGCGUCAUUUGUACCCUCAAGCUUUGCUUGGUGUUGGGCGUCUUGUCUCCAGUCCGCUGGAGACUCGCCUUAAAGUCAUUGGCAGCCGGCCUACUGGGUUUCGGGGAGGCGGCAGGCACAAGGUCGGCACUCUUUCCAGGCCAAGGGUCAGGCGGUCCAACAAGGCCUUUUUCAACUUUUGGGACCUCGGGGGAUCAGGUAGGGAUACCCGCUGAACUUAA